Molecule: ribosomal RNA, 650 nt
Filed under: uncultured marine eukaryote
Lineage: Eukaryota
Description: SSU rRNA
Rfam family: Eukaryotic small subunit ribosomal RNA
Source: RNAcentral
GUUAAAAAGCUCGUAGUUGGAUCUCGGCAGGUAGGGGGCGGUUCGUUUCUGACGGCACUGCCCCAUUUACCUGUGUUUUUGACGGAGGUCUCAAGGUGGCUUUAAUCGGCUGUCUUGGUACGCCGUCAGGUUUACUUUGAAAAAAUUAGAGUGCUCAAAGCAGGCUACAAAGCUUGAAUAUUUGUGCAUGGAAUAAUGGAAUAGGAAGUCGUUUCUAUUUUUUUUGGUUUUCGGAAAUUGACUUAAUGAUUAAUAGGGACAGCCGGGGGCAUUAGUACUCAGACGACAGAGGUGAAAUUCUUGGACCGUUUGAGGACUAACUACUGCGAAAGCAUUUGCCAAGAGUGUUUUCAUUAAUCAAGAACGAAAGUUAGAGGUUCGAAGGCGAUCAGAUACCGCCCUAGUUCUAACCAUAAACGAUGCUGACUAGCGAUCCGUAGCUGUUUUCUAUGUAGGCUCUACGGGAAGCUUCCGGGAAACCAAAGUUUUUGAGUUCCGGGGGAAGUAUGGUUGCAAAGCUGAAACUUAAAGGAAUUGACGGAAGGGCACCACCAGGAGUGGAGCCUGCGGCUUAAUUUGACUCAACACGGGAAAUCUCACCAGGCCCGGACACUGGAAGGAUUGACAGAUUGAGAGCUCUUUCUCGAUUU